This 72-nucleotide transfer RNA is filed under the name Ictidomys tridecemlineatus (thirteen-lined ground squirrel). RNAcentral describes it as "Spermophilus tridecemlineatus (thirteen-lined ground squirrel) tRNA". It matches the Rfam family "tRNA". Rfam says of the family: Transfer RNA (tRNA) molecules are approximately 80 nucleotides in length. Their secondary structure includes four short double-helical elements and three loops (D, anti-codon, and T loops). The record is from Rfam by way of RNAcentral. Lineage: Eukaryota; Metazoa; Chordata; Mammalia; Rodentia; Sciuridae.
UGGGUUGUGGCUCAGUGGUAGAGCACUCACCUAGCACGGGCAAGGCUCUGGGUUCGAUCCUCAGCACCACAU